ACUGGGUGAUGGUCUCGGUUCGUCCAUCACACUCACGGCUGCUGGAUCCUGAUGGUCUCAGAUCAAACCCCCCGGGGAAGAUGGGCCGGGCAAUCCAUCAUCCAUCCGAACCUUCGAGCCGGUUGCGGCAAAGGUCUAGUCUGACUCCAGGGACCAGAGAUGGAGGGGAGCUUGCCACAGCCCCCAUGCCAUUCUGCUGAGGGGCACCCCUGCCCGGUGCCAGGCUGACGUCCACACCAUCCUGCUGUUCCCACCAGCUGAGCUGACCGCCUGCUGCCAAGCACUCAGAGAACUGACUCUGGCCCAUCUUCUUGCAGCCGGGCUGCUGGGCACCUCCCCUGGAUGCAUACUCCUGCUCUUGAAGAAAAAUUCCUAACAAUUCCCUGUAAAGGAGGUGUCAUUGGAAAUGACAGCUUUUUUUUUUUUUUUUUUUUUGAGACAGGGUCUUGCCCUGUCACCCAGGCUGGAGUACAGUGGUAUAAUCAUAGCUCACUUCAGCUCAACCUCUUGGGCUCAAGUGA
RNAcentral lists this long non-coding RNA (521 nucleotides) under Pongo abelii (Sumatran orangutan). RNAcentral's name for it is "lincRNA". Lineage: Eukaryota; Metazoa; Chordata; Mammalia; Primates; Hominidae. The record is from RNAcentral.